Molecule: ribosomal RNA, 2902 nt
Filed under: Escherichia coli
Lineage: Bacteria; Pseudomonadati; Pseudomonadota; Gammaproteobacteria; Enterobacterales; Enterobacteriaceae
Also listed under: 35 other names
Description: bacterial LSU rRNA
Rfam family: Bacterial large subunit ribosomal RNA
Source: RNAcentral
UUAAGCGACUAAGCGUACACGGUGGAUGCCCUGGCAGUCAGAGGCGAUGAAGGACGUGCUAAUCUGCGAUAAGCGUCGGUGAGGUGAUAUGAACCGUUAUAACCGGCGAUUUCCGAAUGGGGAAACCCAGUGUGUUUCGACACACUAUCAUUAACUGAAUCCAUAGGUUAAUGAGGCGAACCGGGGGAACUGAAACAUCUAAGUACCCCGAGGAAAAGAAAUCAACCGAGAUUCCCCCAGUAGCGGCGAGCGAACGGGGAGGAGCCCAGAGCCUGAAUCAGUGUGUGUGUUAGUGGAAGCGUCUGGAAAGGCGUGCGAUACAGGGUGACAGCCCCGUACACAAAAAUGCACAUAUUGUGAGCUCGAUGAGUAGGGCGGGACACGUGGUAUCCUGUCUGAAUAUGGGGGGACCAUCCUCCAAGGCUAAAUACUCCUGACUGACCGAUAGUGAACCAGUACCGUGAGGGAAAGGCGAAAAGAACCCCGGCGAGGGGAGUGAAAAAGAACCUGAAACCGUGUACGUACAAGCAGUGGGAGCCUCUUAAUGGGGUGACUGCGUACCUUUUGUAUAAUGGGUCAGCGACUUAUAUUCUGUAGCAAGGUUAACCGAAUAGGGGAGCCGAAGGGAAACCGAGUCUUAACUGGGCGUUAAGUUGCAGGGUAUAGACCCGAAACCCGGUGAUCUAGCCAUGGGCAGGUUGAAGGUUGGGUAACACUAACUGGAGGACCGAACCGACUAAUGUUGAAAAAUUAGCGGAUGACUUGUGGCUGGGGGUGAAAGGCCAAUCAAACCGGGAGAUAGCUGGUUCUCCCCGAAAGCUAUUUAGGUAGCGCCUCGUGAAUUCAUCUCCGGGGGUAGAGCACUGUUUCGGCAAGGGGGUCAUCCCGACUUACCAACCCGAUGCAAACUGCGAAUACCGGAGAAUGUUAUCACGGGAGACACACGGCGGGUGCUAACGUCCGUCGUGAAGAGGGAAACAACCCAGACCGCCAGCUAAGGUCCCAAAGUCAUGGUUAAGUGGGAAACGAUGUGGGAAGGCCCAGACAGCCAGGAUGUUGGCUUAGAAGCAGCCAUCAUUUAAAGAAAGCGUAAUAGCUCACUGGUCGAGUCGGCCUGCGCGGAAGAUGUAACGGGGCUAAACCAUGCACCGAAGCUGCGGCAGCGACACUAUGUGUUGUUGGGUAGGGGAGCGUUCUGUAAGCCUGUGAAGGUGGCCUGUGAGGGUUGCUGGAGGUAUCAGAAGUGCGAAUGCUGACAUAAGUAACGAUAAAGCGGGUGAAAAGCCCGCUCGCCGGAAGACCAAGGGUUCCUGUCCAACGUUAAUCGGGGCAGGGUGAGUCGACCCCUAAGGCGAGGCCGAAAGGCGUAGUCGAUGGGAAACAGGUUAAUAUUCCUGUACUUGGUGUUACUGCGAAGGGGGGACGGAGAAGGCUAUGUUGGCCGGGCGACGGUUGUCCCGGUUUAAGCGUGUAGGCUGGUUUUCCAGGCAAAUCCGGAAAACCAAGGCUGAGGCGUGAUGACGAGGCACUACGGUGCUGAAGCGACAAAUGCCCUGCUUCCAGGAAAAGCCUCUAAGCAUCAGGUAACAUCAAAUCGUACCCAAAACCGACACAGGUGGUCAGGUAGAGAAUACCAAGGCGCUUGAGAGAACUCGGGUGAAGGAACUAGGCAAAAUGGUGCCGUAACUUCGGGAGAAGGCACGCUGAUAUGUAGGUGAAGCGACUUGCUCGUGGAGCUGAAAUCAGUCGAAGAUACCAGCUGGCUGCAACUGUUUAUUAAAAACACAGCACUGUGCAAACACGAAAGUGGACGUAUACGGUGUGACGCCUGCCCGGUGCCGGAAGGUUAAUUGAUGGGGUUAGCGGUAACGCGAAGCUCUUGAUCGAAGCCCCGGUAAACGGCGGCCGUAACUAUAACGGUCCUAAGGUAGCGAAAUUCCUUGUCGGGUAAGUUCCGACCUGCACGAAUGGCGUAAUGAUGGCCAGGCUGUCUCCACCCGAGACUCAGUGAAAUUGAACUCGCUGUGAAGAUGCAGUGUACCCGCGGCAAGACGGAAAGACCCCGUGAACCUUUACUAUAGCUUGACACUGAACAUUGAGCCUUGAUGUGUAGGAUAGGUGGGAGGCUUUGAAGUGUGGACGCCAGUCUGCAUGGAGCCGACCUUGAAAUACCACCCUUUAAUGUUUGAUGUUCUAACGUUGGCCCGUAAUCCGGGUUGCGGACAGUGUCUGGUGGGUAGUUUGACUGGGGCGGUCUCCUCCUAAAGAGUAACGGAGGAGCACGAAGGUUGGCUAAUCCUGGUCGGACAUCAGGAGGUUAGUGCAAUGGCAUAAGCCAGCUUGACUGCGAGCGUGACGGCGCGAGCAGGUGCGAAAGCAGGUCAUAGUGAUCCGGUGGUUCUGAAUGGAAGGGCCAUCGCUCAACGGAUAAAAGGUACUCCGGGGAUAACAGGCUGAUACCGCCCAAGAGUUCAUAUCGACGGCGGUGUUUGGCACCUCGAUGUCGGCUCAUCACAUCCUGGGGCUGAAGUAGGUCCCAAGGGUAUGGCUGUUCGCCAUUUAAAGUGGUACGCGAGCUGGGUUUAGAACGUCGUGAGACAGUUCGGUCCCUAUCUGCCGUGGGCGCUGGAGAACUGAGGGGGGCUGCUCCUAGUACGAGAGGACCGGAGUGGACGCAUCACUGGUGUUCGGGUUGUCAUGCCAAUGGCACUGCCCGGUAGCUAAAUGCGGAAGAGAUAAGUGCUGAAAGCAUCUAAGCACGAAACUUGCCCCGAGAUGAGUUCUCCCUGACUCCUUGAGGGUCCUGAAGGAACGUUGAAGACGACGACGUUGAUAGGCCGGGUGUGUAAGCGCAGCGAUGCGUUGAGCUAACCGGUACUAAUGAACCGUGAGGCUUAACCUU